CCUACGGGAGGCAGCAGUGGGGAAUAUUGCGCAAUGGGCGAAAGCCUGACGCAGCGACGCCGCGUGAGGGAUGAAGGCCUUCGGAUCGUAAACCUCUGUCAGCAGGGAAGAACGGUCACUGUGCUAAUCAGCAGUGAAUUGACGGUACCUGCAAAGGAAGCACCGGCUAACUCCGUGCCAGCAGCCGCGGUAAUACGGAGGGUGCGAGCGUUGAUCGGUAUUACUGGGCGUAAAGCGCUCGUGGGCGGUAGGGCAAGUCAAGGGUGAAAUCCCCGCGCUCAACGUGGGAACUGCCUUUGAAACUGGCAAACUUGAGUGUGUGAGAGGAUAGUGGAAUUCCAGGUGUAGGGGUGAAAUCCGUAGAUAUCUGGAGGAACAUCAGUGGCGAAGGCGACUAUCUGGCACAUAACUGACGCUGAGGAGCGAAAGCGUGGGUAGCAAACAGGAUUAGAUACCCGGGUAGUC
Molecule: ribosomal RNA, 465 nt
Filed under: uncultured bacterium
Lineage: Bacteria
Description: partial 16S ribosomal RNA
Rfam family: Bacterial small subunit ribosomal RNA
Source: RNAcentral